GAUGAACGCUGGCGGCGUGCCUAAUACAUGCAAGUCGAGCGAACAGACGAGGAGCUUGCUCCUCUGACGUUAGCGGCGCACGGGUGAGUAACACGUGGAUAACCUACCUAUAAGACUGGGAUGACUUCGGGAAACCGGAGCUAAUACCGGAUAAUAUAUUGAACCGCAUGGUUCAAUAGUGAAAGACGGUUUUGCUGUCACUUAUAGAUGGAUCCGCGCCGCAUUAGCUAGUUGGUAAGGUAACGGCUUACCAAGGCGACGAUGCGUAGCCGACCUGAGAGGGUGGUCGCCCACACUGGAACAGAGGCACGGUCCAGACUCCUACGGGGGGCAGCGGUAGGGACUCUUCCGGAAUGGGCGAGAGCCUGACAGAGCAACGCCGCGUGAGUGAUGAAGGUCUUCGGAUCGUAAAACUCUGUUAGUAGGGGAGAACAAAUGUGUAAGUAACUAUGCACAUCUUGACGGUACCUAAUCAGAAAGCCACGGCUAACUACGUG
This 497-nucleotide ribosomal RNA is filed under the name uncultured bacterium. Its description in RNAcentral is "partial 16S ribosomal RNA". It matches the Rfam family "Bacterial small subunit ribosomal RNA", at positions 28 to 507 of the family's 1533-position model. The record is from RNAcentral.